RNAcentral lists this long non-coding RNA (1082 nucleotides) under Vulpes vulpes (red fox). Its description in RNAcentral is "lncRNA (ENSVVUG00000002161.1)". Lineage: Eukaryota; Metazoa; Chordata; Mammalia; Carnivora; Canidae. The record is from RNAcentral.
CCAGCUUGGUGCAGGGAGGGCGGCAAGGAGGGUGCCAGCAAGGCAGCCGUGGCUGGUGUGGGACGGUGUGGACGGCGGGUCGUGGAUGGGACGGUGUGGACGCUGUGCUCGUGGACACUGUGGCCAUGGGUGGGACGGUGUGGCCGUGGGUGGGAGAGUGUGGAUGAUGUGGCCACGGACAGGGUGGCUGUGGGUGGGACAGUGGGGGGGGGCCAUGGACGUACCCACACAGCCUUGAGUGGGCGCCGGGAGCGCCUCUGGCAGUGGGUUCACGGGGGUCACGGGCGUGAAGGCAGGAGAAUCAAAGAAGGAGAAAGAAAAGUCUUGACUGGGGAGGUCACGUGUUAUGGGGACACGUGUGUCCACCACCAGCCGGUCACCUCCGGAGCCAGCAGGCCAGCAGGAGAGAAGGACCCCGGGGGGUGGGGUGUGGCCUGGGGCCGUGUGCAGGGUGCUGCGAGCAGGAGAGCUGGCUCCGAGCGGGUUCUGUGGGUGUCCAAGCCCCAGGCUCAUCCUCAGCUGGGAGCAACCCCAGUCUUAGUGCUCCCAGGCAGGUGGCCCUGGGCUCCCAUCAGCUCCACCUACCCCAGGCCUGGGAAGGCAUCUGGCCAAGGAUGCAAACCCCUGGUGCCUAAUUAUUAUCCUUCUAAGGCACUGAGGGCUUCAGGCUCAAGAGCGCGUCCCUGUGGGGAAUCCUGCGCCCCAGGUGUGUGCGGCCCAGCUGCGCCCCGGGCACGCAGGCUCCCAUCCUCACACCUUCCCGCCCCGUUUCCAGGGCACACGGCCACUGCCCCUCGGGCUCCUGCUGGGGAACCUGCACGGUGACUCCCGGCGGCCAGUCCCGGAUGAGCCUGCUGUGCCUCCCACAUCCGCGUCCAGCCGCCCCCGGAUGAUUGCUCAGCCACCUCCAGCUCAGGGGCGCCAGCUCAGCCCCCUACCUCCCCUACCUCCUGCUCGGUGGUUCCUUUCCUGCAUCCCAUGCUUGGCAAAGCGCGUGCCCACCUGCUCUAGCCACUGAGCCGCCCACCUGAGCCAGCCCACCUGAGCUGCCCACCUGGCUCUAGCCACUGAACUGCCCACCU